UUCCUCAUUUCUUCCAGUUGUUUGUUAGUUUCAGAUUGCAUGUAUCCAAGAAUUCCAUCAACAGUCCACUCGGGGAUAGUUUGAACUUCUGAUGUCAAGGGAAAAAGGAUCUCAACAGCUGCACGAUUGCCUCUUGUUGCAGCAACCUGUAUUGGUUUCUGGCCAUCCUCAUCAACAACAUUAGGAUCAGCCCCAGCUUUUAAUAAACAGUUCAAGAUUUCAGAGCUCCCAUUAUCAGCAGCGAUAUGCAAUGGAGUGGCUCCACCAGCAAUAACAUUAACAUCAGCACCUGCCUGAACUAAUGAUUCUAAACAAGCUAAUGAACCAGCAGCAACAGCUGACAAUAGUGGAGUUAUAUUAUCUUCCGUUUCACUAUUAGGGUUAGCAUGGUGCUCUAACAAAAUUUUCAAAGCAUCAGGCUGAGCAUGUCCGGCAGCCCAGAUUAGAGGAGUGCCAGCAUCACUUUCAGAAUCAACCUCAACACCCUUGGAAAGUAAAUACCUCAGCAACUCAAUAUUUCCUAUCCCUGCAGAAUGAUGCAAAGCUGUGUUGGCAUGGAAGGAUUGGCACCAUGCUCAAUAAGGUAUUUAGCAGUAGCAGUAUGUCCUUGCCGAGCAGCAUGAAGAAGAGGAGUCUCAGCAUCUUCAUCCUUCGUAUCCACAUCAAGCUUCAAGUCCUCAACUAAGAAC
Molecule: unclassified non-coding RNA, 689 nt
Filed under: Hevea brasiliensis (rubber tree)
Lineage: Eukaryota; Viridiplantae; Streptophyta; Magnoliopsida; Malpighiales; Euphorbiaceae
Source: RNAcentral